UUCUUGUAGUUUAAAAUAAAAUAUAACAUUGAAAAUGUUAAGUUGCUAAUGUCAA
RNAcentral lists this transfer RNA (55 nucleotides) under Ornithodoros zumpti. RNAcentral's name for it is "tRNA-Phe". The record is from RNAcentral. Lineage: Eukaryota; Metazoa; Arthropoda; Arachnida; Ixodida; Argasidae.